This 301-nucleotide ribosomal RNA is filed under the name uncultured bacterium. RNAcentral's name for it is "partial 16S ribosomal RNA". It matches the Rfam family "Bacterial small subunit ribosomal RNA", at positions 509 to 807 of the family's 1533-position model. The record is from RNAcentral.
CAGCCGCCGCGGUAAUACAGAGGGUGCGAGCGUUAAUCGGAUUUACUGGGCGUAAAGCGUGCGUAGGUGGUUCGCCAAGUUGGAUGUGAAAUCCCCGGGCUCAACCUGGGAAUGGCAGUGGAUACUGGCUCGCUAGAGUGUGUCAGAGGAUGGUGGAAUUCCCGGUGUAGCGGUGAAAUGCGUAGAGAUCGGGAGGAACAUCAGUGGCGAAGGCGGCCAUCUGGGACAACACUGACGCUGAGGCACGAAAGCGUGGGGAGCAAACAGGAUUAGAUACCCGUGUAGUCCCUGUCUCUUAUAC